GAAACAACACCGCUAGCGCAAGUAGUAAUGGCUGCCGUAGAGAGGAGUUGCACCUGUGACACUUUUCAGGUCCAGCCAUCAUUACAGUGAGGCUUUUAGCCUCUCGUGUGAUGAAUCAUCGAGUGGGCGGUGCGGAUUUGGGCUGAUCCUAUCCUGCUUUCAACAACCAGGAGGAAAGUUGUGGGAAGCAGGCGGUGUAUCGUGUCCGCCAGAGAAGUCCUGACCCAUUCAUGGAUCAGGUUAUAGCGCAUCAGCUGUUGGAGGUGUUCUGUGGGAUUGAGGAGAGGUGUUCUAACUUAAUUACUUUCCCAUGCUGUAUAUAAAUUUCUGUACUUCAUAGCCGUGGCCUGGCCAUCAAAAUAAUUGUAAAUUGGUCAUUCAGAUAGCGGUGAACUGACCAUCAAGAUAGCGGUGAACUGACCAUCAAGAUAGCGGUGAACUGACCAUCAAGAUAGCGGUGAACUGACAACUCAGAUAGCUGUAAAUGGACCACUGAGAUAACUGUGAACUGACCAUCACGGUAACUGUAAACUAACCAUUCAGAUAGCUGUGAACUGACCAUCCAGUUUAUCGUAUAACCUGUGGAGGAUUUUUACACAGUUUCUCUGCUAGGAUGAAUAUGAUCAGUGUUUAUGGAAGAGCCACAUUGCUGAAGCUGACUUAAAUCUUUUGACAUUGAAAUUCACUUUUGGUAUUUCUGGUGCUUUUGUGCGACGUUCUGUCAGUGAAGUGUUACAAGAACGAAGAUGGAGAACAAUUUUUCCUCCCAGGGGAGGGAUAUCGGCAGACCCGAUUUUCCGUCAGUUAUGGACU
Molecule: long non-coding RNA, 813 nt
Organism: Aplysia californica (California sea hare)
Lineage: Eukaryota; Metazoa; Mollusca; Gastropoda; Aplysiida; Aplysiidae
Exons: 2
Source: RefSeq, a predicted model, not a curated record